Molecule: ribosomal RNA, 274 nt
Filed under: uncultured bacterium
Lineage: Bacteria
Description: partial 16S ribosomal RNA
Rfam family: Bacterial small subunit ribosomal RNA
Source: RNAcentral
AUACGGAGGGUGCAAGCGUUAAUCGGAAUUACUGGGCGUAAAGCGCGCGUAGGCGGUUGGGUCAGUCGGAUGUGAAAGCCCCGGGCUUAACCUGGGAACUGCAUUCGAUACUGCCCGGCUAGAGUAUGGUAGAGGAAAGUGGAAUUCCCGGUGUAGCGGUGAAAUGCGUAGAUAUCGGGAAGAACAUCAGUGGCGAAGGCGGCUACCUGGACCAAUACUGACGCUAAGGUGCGAAAGCGUGGGGAGCAAACAGGAUUAGAAACCCGAGUAGUCC